UAUUCUAUAGUGUAUUAAAUCUAACACGUCAAGUUGCAAACUUGAAAAAACUUUUAAUUAGAAUUA
Molecule: transfer RNA, 66 nt
Filed under: Halice sp. JL-2018
Lineage: Eukaryota; Metazoa; Arthropoda; Malacostraca; Amphipoda; Pardaliscidae
Description: tRNA-Cys
Source: RNAcentral